GUAUGUAAGGUAGGGUCUCAAAGUUUUACCCUUGCAUUUAUGGUUUAUCAUUAGUGUCUACUUUUGGAUUCUGUUGUUUCAUAUUGCAUGAAACUGUGAUUCACUGACAUUAUACUAUUUCUAAUUUCCUAUAUUUUGUUUUUCCUUAAUUCUAUUUUUUUUAUUUUUAUACCAUGCGUGUACCUUGUGUUUUAUGGAUGGCACAAUUAGACACCAAGGUGUAUU
Molecule: unclassified non-coding RNA, 225 nt
Filed under: Hevea brasiliensis (rubber tree)
Lineage: Eukaryota; Viridiplantae; Streptophyta; Magnoliopsida; Malpighiales; Euphorbiaceae
Source: RNAcentral